CAUGCAGUCGAACGGACUCAGUCGGUGGUAACACCGGCGAAAGUUAGUGGCGAACGGGUGCGUAACACGUGAGCAACCUACCCUAGAGACUGGGAUAACACCGGGAAACCGGUGCUAAUACCGGAUACCCCCAUCCCAUCGCAUGGUGGAAUGAGGAAAUGUUUUUCGCUCUUGGAGGGGCUCGCGGCCUAUCAGCUUGUUGGUGAGGUAAUGGCUCACCAAGGCUUCGACGGGUAGCUGGCCUGAGAGGACGACCAGCCACACUGGGACUGAGACACGGCCCAGACUCCUACGGGAGGCA
This 301-nucleotide ribosomal RNA is filed under the name uncultured Acidimicrobiales bacterium. RNAcentral describes it as "bacterial SSU rRNA". It matches the Rfam family "Bacterial small subunit ribosomal RNA", at positions 54 to 350 of the family's 1533-position model. The record is from RNAcentral. Lineage: Bacteria; Bacillati; Actinomycetota; Acidimicrobiia; Acidimicrobiales.